CUACGGGUCGCUCCAGUGGGGAAUAUUGGACAAUGGGGGAAACCCUGAUCCAGCAAUGCCGCGUGUGUGAAGAAGGCCUGCGGGUUGUAAAGCACUUUCGGUUGGGAGGACUGCUUCUAGCACUAAUAUUGUUGGAAGUUGACGUUACCUUCAGAAGAAGCACCGGCUAACUCCGUGACGGCAGCCGCGGUAAUACGGGGGGUGCAAGCGUUAAUCGGAAUUACUGGGCGUAAAGCGCGCGUAGGCGGCUAGAUCAGUCGGGUGUGAAAGCCCCGGGCUUAACCUGGGAACUGCAUCCGAUACUGUCUAGCUUGAGUACAGGAGAGGAGAGUGGAAUUCCACAUGUAGCGGUGAAAUGCGUAGAUAUGUGGAGGAACACCAAUGGCGAAGGCAGCUCUCUGGCCUGAUACUGACGCUGAGGUGCGAAAGCGUGGGGAGCAAACAGGAUUAGAUACCCCCGUAGUC
RNAcentral lists this ribosomal RNA (465 nucleotides) under uncultured bacterium. RNAcentral describes it as "partial 16S ribosomal RNA". It matches the Rfam family "Bacterial small subunit ribosomal RNA", at positions 339 to 795 of the family's 1533-position model. The record is from RNAcentral.